GCCAGAAGUCAUAUCACCCUGCAACUCACAACUGCCAACCCACUGAAGCUAAGCAUGUGUGAGCCUGGUCAGUAUUUGAAUGGGAGACCUCCUGGGAAAGCUAAUGUUGCUGCUGGAA
This 118-nucleotide ribosomal RNA is filed under the name Lepisosteus oculatus (spotted gar). Lineage: Eukaryota; Metazoa; Chordata; Actinopteri; Semionotiformes; Lepisosteidae. The record is from RNAcentral.